RNAcentral lists this ribosomal RNA (372 nucleotides) under uncultured bacterium. Its description in RNAcentral is "bacterial SSU rRNA". It matches the Rfam family "Bacterial small subunit ribosomal RNA", at positions 790 to 1167 of the family's 1533-position model. The record is from RNAcentral.
GUAGUCCACGCCGUAAACGAUGGAUACUAGCUGUUCGGUAGCAAUACUGAGUGGCUAAGCGAAAGUGAUAAGUAUCCCACCUGGGGAGUACGAACGCAAGUUUGAAACUCAAAGGAAUUGACGGGGGCCCGCACAAGCGGUGGAGCAUGUGGUUUAAUUCGAUGAUACGCGAGGAACCUUACCAGGGCUUAAAUGUAGUCUGACAGGUCUGGAAACAGAUUUUCCUUCGGGCAGAUUACAAGGUGCUGCAUGGUUGUCGUCAGCUCGUGCCGUGAGGUGUCAGGUUAAGUCCUAUAACGAGCGCAACCCCUGUUGUUAGUUGCCAGCGAGUCAUGUCGGGAACUCUAACAAGACUGCCAGUGCAAACUGUGA